RNAcentral lists this long non-coding RNA (351 nucleotides) under Monodelphis domestica (gray short-tailed opossum). RNAcentral describes it as "lncRNA (ENSMODG00000047453.1)". Lineage: Eukaryota; Metazoa; Chordata; Mammalia; Didelphimorphia; Didelphidae. The record is from RNAcentral.
UGGCGGAGGCCCAGUGGAGUGCGAAUGAGAAAGUGGAAGCCGGGAGCAUAAACGGCUCUUGUGUCAAAGCGGGCAGUCGUGCGGAGGAGGGCCCAAGGUCUUUCCAAGAUACAUGUACUAAUGGAUGAACUGGAUGUAUUGCCAGGCCAACUAUAGACAAUAAUCUGGAUCAAACUGAAGGAGAUCUUUGAAAGCUGCUCCGAGGUUGCUCUGAUCCUGGAGCUGGGGACGGGACAAGAGCUGUGUGACAGGUAAUUAGUGCAUAAACCAGACCUUCCCCGGGACGUUGGGAGUCCUUAACCUAUGGAGGCCAGCCUCCCAGCUGCUGCAUCUACCACCAGGACACAGGGG